GGAGAGAUGGCUGAGUGGCCGAAAGCGCCGGAUUGCUAAUCCGGUCUGCGGGGAAACCCGUAGCACGGGUUCGAAUCCCGUUCUCUCCG
This 89-nucleotide transfer RNA is filed under the name Planctomycetaceae bacterium. Its description in RNAcentral is "tRNA-Ser". It matches the Rfam family "tRNA". Rfam says of the family: Transfer RNA (tRNA) molecules are approximately 80 nucleotides in length. Their secondary structure includes four short double-helical elements and three loops (D, anti-codon, and T loops). The record is from RNAcentral. Lineage: Bacteria; Pseudomonadati; Planctomycetota; Planctomycetia; Planctomycetales; Planctomycetaceae.